GACGAACGCUGGCGGCGUGCUUAACACAUGCAAGUCGAACGGAAAGGCCCUGCUUUUGUGGGGUGCUCGAGUGGCGAACGGGUGAGUAACACGUGAGUAACCUGCCCUUGACUUUGGGAUAACUUCAGGAAACUGGGGCUAAUACCGGAUAGGAGCUCCUGCUGCAUGGUGGGGGUUGGAAAGUUUCGGCGGUUGGGGAUGGACUCGCGGCUUAUCAGCUUGUUGGUGGGGUAGUGGCUUACCAAGGCUUUGACGGGUAGCCGGCCUGAGAGGGUGACCGGCCACAUUGGGACUGAGGUACGGCCCAGACUCCUACGGGAGGCAGCAGUGGGGAAUAUUGCACAAUGGGCGGAAGCCUGAUGCAGCAACGCCGCGUGCGGGAUGACGGCCUUCGGGUUGUAAACCGCUUUCGCCUGUGACGAAGCGUGAGUGACGGUAAUGGGUAAAGAAGCACCGGCUAACUACGUGCCAGCAGCCGCGGUGAUACGUAGGGUGCGAGCGUUGUCCGGAUUUAUUGGGCGUAAAGGGCUCGUAGGUGGUUGAUCGCGUCGGAAGUGUAAUCUUGGGGCUUAACCCUGAGCGUGCUUUCGAUACGGGUUGACUUGAGGAAGGUAGGGGAGAAUGGAAUUCCUGGUGGAGCGGUGGAAUGCGCAGAUAUCAGGAGGAACACCAGUGGCGAAGGCGGUUCUCUGGGCCUUUCCUGACGCUGAGGAGCGAAAGCGUGGGGAGCGAACAGGCUUAGAUACCCUGGUAGUCCACGCUGUAAACGGUGGGUACUAGGUGUGGGGUCCAUUCCACGGGUUCCGUGCCGUAGCUAACGCUUUAAGUACCCCGCCUGGGGAGUACGGCCGCAAGGCUAAAACUCAAAGGAAUUGACGGGGCCCCGCACAAGCGGCGGAGCAUGCGGAUUAAUUCGAUGCAACGCGUAGAACCUUACCUGGGUUUGACAUGGAUCGGGAGUGCUCAGAGAUGGGUGUGCCUCUUUUGGGGUCGGUUCACAGGUGGUGCAUGGCUGUCGUCAGCUCGUGUCGUGAGAUGUUGGGUUAAGUCCCGCAACGAGCGCAACCCUUGUUCACUGUUGCCAGCACGUUAUGGUGGGGACUCAGUGGAGACCGCCGGGGUCAACUCGGAGGAAGGUGGGGAUGACGUCAAGUCAUCAUGCCCCUUAUGUCCAGGGCUUCACGCAUGCUACAAUGGCUGGUACAGAGAGUGGCGAGUCUGUGAGGGUGAGCGAAUCUCGGAAAGCCGGUCUCAGUUCGGAUUGGGGUCUGCAACUCGACCUCAUGAAGUCGGAGUCGCUAGUAAUCGCAGAUCAGCAACGCUGCGGUGAAUACGUUCCCGGGGCU
This 1346-nucleotide ribosomal RNA is filed under the name uncultured bacterium. RNAcentral describes it as "partial 16S ribosomal RNA". It matches the Rfam family "Bacterial small subunit ribosomal RNA", at positions 28 to 1381 of the family's 1533-position model. The record is from RNAcentral.